RNAcentral lists this non-coding RNA (69 nucleotides) under uncultured Geminigera. The record is from RNAcentral. Lineage: Eukaryota; Cryptophyceae; Pyrenomonadales; Geminigeraceae.
CAUCUUCGCAGGCAUAUCGUCGUGCACGGCCUUUUCGGGCCUCCCCAAUUUUUCGAGUGUGGCCCCAGA